GGGCUCUUAGCUCAGUUGGUAGAGCAGUACACUUUUAAUGUACGGGUCGAUGGUUCGAGUCCAUCAGGGCUCA
This 73-nucleotide transfer RNA is filed under the name Chitinophagaceae bacterium. Its description in RNAcentral is "tRNA-Lys". It matches the Rfam family "tRNA". Rfam says of the family: Transfer RNA (tRNA) molecules are approximately 80 nucleotides in length. Their secondary structure includes four short double-helical elements and three loops (D, anti-codon, and T loops). Further hydrogen bonds mediate the characteristic L-shaped molecular structure. tRNAs have two regions of fundamental functional importance: the anti-codon, which is responsible for specific mRNA codon recognition, and the 3' end, to which the tRNAs corresponding amino acid is attached (by aminoacyl-tRNA synthetases). tRNAs cope with the degeneracy of the genetic code in two manners: having more than one tRNA (with a specific anti-codon) for a particular amino acid; and 'wobble' base-pairing, i.e. permitting non-standard base-pairing at the 3rd anti-codon position. Lineage: Bacteria; Pseudomonadati; Bacteroidota; Chitinophagia; Chitinophagales; Chitinophagaceae. RNAcentral also lists the same sequence under 2 other names. The record is from RNAcentral.